UACGUAGGGGCCUAGCGUUGUCCGGAUUUAUUGGGCGUAAAGAGCGUGUAGGCGGCCAGACAAGUCUGCUGUGAAAACUCGAGGCUCAACCUCGAGCUGUCGGUGGAAACUGUCUGGCUAGAGUCCGGAAGAGGAGAGUGGAAUUCCUGGUGUAGCGGUGAAAUGCGCAGAUAUCAGGAAGAACACCUAUGGCGAAGGCAGCUCUCUGGGACGGUACUGACGCUGAGACGCGAAAGCGUGGGGAGCGAACAGG
This 253-nucleotide ribosomal RNA is filed under the name uncultured bacterium. RNAcentral describes it as "partial 16S ribosomal RNA". It matches the Rfam family "Bacterial small subunit ribosomal RNA", at positions 524 to 776 of the family's 1533-position model. The record is from RNAcentral.